This 498-nucleotide ribosomal RNA is filed under the name uncultured Streptococcus sp. RNAcentral describes it as "partial 16S ribosomal RNA". The record is from RNAcentral. Lineage: Bacteria; Bacillati; Bacillota; Bacilli; Lactobacillales; Streptococcaceae.
CACGUAGUUAGCCGUCCCUUUCUGGUAAGCUACCGUCACAGUGUGAACUUUCCACUCUCACACCCGUUCUUGACUUACAACAGAGCUUUACGAUCCGAAAACCUUCUUCACUCACGCGGCGUUGCUCGGUCAGGGUUGCCUCCAUUGCCGAAGAUUCCCUACUGCUGCCUCCCGUAGGAGUCUGGGCCGUGUCUCAGUCCCAGUGUGGCCGAUCACCCUCUCAGGUCGGCUAUGUAUCGUCGCCUAGGUGAGCCAUUACCUCACCUACUAGCUAAUACAACGCAGGUCCAUCUUGUAGUGGAGCAAUUGCCCCUUUCAAAUAAAUGACAUGUGUCAUCCAUUGUUAUGCGGUAUUAGCUAUCGUUUCCAAUAGUUAUCCCCCGCUACAAGGCAGGUUACCUACGCGUUACUCACCCGUUCGCAACUCAUCCAAGAAGAGCAAGCUCCUCUCUUCAGCGUUCUACUUGCAUGUAUUAGGCACGCCGCCAGCGUUCGUCC